RNA transcript from Panicum virgatum (switchgrass), 4216 nucleotides. RefSeq lists it as uncharacterized. The transcript is spliced from 6 exons. The record is from RefSeq and is a predicted model, not a curated record. Lineage: Eukaryota; Viridiplantae; Streptophyta; Magnoliopsida; Poales; Poaceae.
CCACAAGGCCUAAUUUUGGCGCAUAAAAAAGCGUAGUAGGGCAGAGCCGCAGAGGCGAGCGCCGAGCGCAACUGGGAAGCUGCAGAGUGGGAAGAUGAGAAAGGGGAAGCGAGCUCGCCGCCGCCGGUGAAGGCGCCGGCACUGACGUCACCGAUCGCCGCCUGCUUCCUAGGCAAGGCUUGCAGUCUCACUCCCUCUUCCCGAUGUUUUUAUUCUUUCUUCCUGGUUCAUCUGCGCAUCCCUACCCCGUUCGUAGUGCUUCGAUUUUUGAACCAUCGAAACGGAUAAAUUGUGUCGUGUGUUUGUCGAUGUGAUGUGAUCUUGAACCGAACUAUUUAGAUUUGGUUUGUAUUGCAUUUUGGUGUGACUGUAACAUGUACGGAAAGGGAAAACCCUAGUGUCGAUAGAUCUGAAUGAACAGAUUUAUCAUUGAAAGGGAAAAUGUGGGUACAGUAUAUAGAAGAUUCAAUCUUUGGGUAUGUCAUGGUUGAUCUGCAAUCUUUGUGUGGUCUAUUUUUUAUUAAAGCUCUAAUCCUUGUCAUUAUUAAUUAUUGAAGGAAAAAAAAACUGGUCUUGUAGCAGACUGCAUUAUGCUUGCUUUGGAUUAUCGUUGAUGCAGUCUACUUUAAAAACCUGACCUAAUGCUAGGGCUCUGCCCUCCAUAAACUCAGAAGCACAAAUUUGAUUUUUGUACUCAUUUUGGCACUUUGUUGUGCACUUAUGUCAUUCGAACAAAUUAUUUCUUCUGUGUGUUGCAUAGCAUUAAAUUUUUUGUGAGUUCAGAUGCACAUAGGAUCGCUCUGUAGUCCCUACUUUUCCUUUUUACUUGGUUCAUUUGGUACAUCUGAACCUGGCCUUCAGUGCUUUGGUUUCUUAAUCCAAACUAAGCAGAGGAAUUUCGUCAGCAUCAUCCUUUAUGAACCCUGUAACAGAAGGACCUCAUUGCUCAAGUAGAUCCAAAAAGAUGUACGCCCAUGAGUAACAUGGCUAUGGUAAAAGAGUCCAUUUUUAUGUUAGUUGUAGGGUUGAACCAAGGAUAUUGACAUAUUUUCUGUAUGCAAUGGUUGAUCUGCGAACAGUACACUGAAUUGUAUUUAAAUGUAUAAUUGGGCAUUUUCCCCACACUUUUCACGUUUGUUUCAUGCUUCACCCAGCACAGAAUUUGCAUGUUUGUAACAGUGUAUAUAACAACUUAACAAGUGACUUCCAAUCUACACAACACAUAUGCUAAAUCUUUGCAGGGGAUCUAAAUCUCUAGCAUGUUACAUGUAUAUCUUUCAUUUCUCUUUCAGUUAUUUUCAUUAUUUUUACUUCGUUGCGCAGAGACUUUGACAUCAUGCAGAACACCAGCAAAAUAUCGAGCACCACAAUCACGUCGCUGAGCGACGACGUGCUCACCGAGAUCCUCUUCCACCUCCCGUCCCUGGCCUCGCUUGCCCGUGCGGCCCUCACCUGCCCACGGUGGCGCCGCCUGGCCACCUCCCGCCACUUCCUCGCCGGCUUCGGCGCGCGCCACGCCUCGCUCCCGCUCCUCGGCUGCUUCUUCUGCGCCGACGACGGCUACUUCGAGGUGCCCGUCUUCCAGCGCGCACGAAACCUCCCUGACAUGGACUUGGCCGCUGUGGUCCGCGGCGGCGACUUCCUGCUAUCCAGCUUCUUUGAAGAUGACCUGUGGACGUUCAAAGACAUUUGUCAGGGCCUCCUCCUCUUCGCCAGCGACGACGAGCUCGCCGUGUUCAACCCGGUGUCGCGGCGCUGCACGUGCGUACCCUUGCCAAACACAUCUGAAUUCGGUGAGCAUGAUAGGGAGGCCUCGGUCGACUGCUUGCUCCCUGCUUGCGGCGCCGCCGACGCGGCAUUCCGUGUGGUUUCCCUAGAGCGCGAUGAGAAAGAGCGGGUGCGCGUCCACGGGUACAACUCCCGCACGGGCGAGUGGCGCCCCAGCCGUGGACGCCGCACGGCAUCAUCAAUUGGAGUCCGGACGAUUCGUUGCGGGCGAUGCACGCUGCCGGGCGUAUCUACUGGAAGCACAGCAACAAGCUGCUCUGUCUCGAGAUGGCACCUAGCGGGUCACUGCAGGUAAGCCACAUUGCCCUCCCACCGGUGCCAGGCUUACUAGAGGUGGCGGCGUCGUACGUGGUCGGGGACAUGGAGGACGGCACCUGCUGCCUCGCUUGCGUCGCAAUGUCUCGACGUCUCCGGAGUCCGGACCCGUACUUUGCAGGUGUGGCUUCGCAGGGAGGAUGGCGGCGGGUCCUGGGAGUUGGGAUGGGAGACCAAGUUUCUCUCAGGAUAUUCACUCUGCGCGGUGAAUGCCGGCAUUGUGCUGUUCGAGGAAUACAGGGCCUAUCGCCUCAGCGAGAUUGACGAGUUGCGUUUUGGAGGCUAUCCUGGGACGGAGGCAUCCUUCUUCGCCGGCCGUGGAUCGGAGGCGUACCCGUAUGUGGCAUGCUCCACCGUGCUGCUGGGCAGGCUCAUACAAGACGACGGAGAUGAGGCACGCGCGCCGCCUGGGUGAUCAACUGCCGAGGCUGAACAUCAUCAAUUUUCUGACCGGACGUGAUAGUCACUGUAGCAUUACUGUAGACAACCAUCAAUUAAUUAGGUUUGUUAGAUUCGCCUCAGUAAAAUAACAUCCAUCUUUGAAAAUGUUUUGUAUAUAGACUUUGUUUAGUACUUCAUAUGUAAAAAAAAAUUGUACGAGCAUCUUCAAGAGUUCCUUAUAUUUUUUUCCUAAAAUUUGAUAUUUGCUAACACCCCAAAUAGAUAUGGGGAGAGAAAAUAAUGUACAUCUCCAAUAGUUUUUCAUUUUUUCUCCCCAACAAUAAAAAAUUGUGGCUGGCAGUAUAUGCCUCUUGCGUAGACAGCCAUGGUGGCGUCCUUCCCUUGCACAGGUGUUGACCAAGAGUAUAUCUGGUAUAAAGAAUCCUUGUGUCUUGCCUACUCAAGUCAUUGACAUAUACAAAGUUUUCCUAUACAUAAUUUGUUUCUGUUCUUGCAGGAACAUACUUUCGGUCCUGACAAGAGUGGCACUUUAAAGUUUAAACACAUUCUGUAAUGAAAUCUGGUUGUAAAACUUUGGACAGCACGGGAAGGAGUGGUCCAAUCCCAAGCCAGAAAGCGCAAAGACGCUUGGAUGAGUACAGAGCACUAGUUCCAGAUGAUAAUUCACAGGAAUUGGAUGGAAAGGCACUCUACACCAUUGGGCGCGGCAUGAAGCAUGGACGUGUUCCAAUAGGUGAUGGUGCUGUGUAUAAGGAAGCUGUUUUAGUACAUGGUAAAUCAGUGCCUUUUAAGCCAAUCAAUCCUGAUGAUUAUGAGAGUAUGCUCAAAGAAAAUGAGCAGCUCAAACAGACAAAUGAGAUACUAUUUGAGGAAAAUAGUGUUAAUCUUGACCUCAUCAUGACAAUGUAUGCAGAUUUCGGAAAAGAUCCACCUGCACAGUUGUUACGACGUCUACAAAAUAUCGAUGCACGUCGUCAACAGAAUGCCAAUAUGAGUUGCAGCAGUGAAAAGGUGGCAUCUUGUUGAUUAGAAAAUAUCAGCCUUAGAUUUAAGUUCAUGACUGAUGGAUCCCCAGGUCGAGGCUCCCACUUAGUUGAUGGUAGGCUCCCACUCAGUUGAUGUAGGCACAGGGGUGAGAACACUGAUGAAAGGGAUGAUGAUGACGACGACAAUGACUAUGAAGGCAGUGAUGACUAUAGCGACGAUGAAGGCAGCGAUGACGACAGCGACGAUGAAGGCAGUGAUGUAUUCUUUAGAGGAAAUGGUGAUGGUGACCCCUACCUUGAAGGCCAGACUGAUGAUGAGGAAGCCAUUGAAGGUGAGGCUGAUGGCGAGGAAGCCGUUGAAGGAAACUGAUGACCCAGUAUGGUGAUCUUGGAACUGACAAAUGACGGGCUGCAUGUCCUGGAUGCAUGCUGACUUCUUUUGGUCUAUUUUGGUAGAGGCUAACAUAUAUAUGAUGUGUAGCUGAGCUUUUGCUAAUCUGGGUUGUGGUUUUGGGACACGACAUGUAGGCAUAUAGACAGUAUUGCCAUCUAGGUAGAUUAAAUUUAGGCAUGAUGCAUGUGAGGAUGACAUGUUUGCCUUACAUAUGCAAAAUGGACUUGUUGUAAUGAACAAAUGGAUGCUGGAUAUGUGGUCUGUAUGAUGUUGUUGUAUGGUGCCUGUCCAAUCAUUAUUUUAAUCAAUAACCAGUAUUGGAAAUGAAUUA